RNAcentral lists this transfer RNA (73 nucleotides) under Chloroflexota bacterium. Its description in RNAcentral is "Chloroflexi bacterium tRNA-Arg". It matches the Rfam family "tRNA". Rfam says of the family: Transfer RNA (tRNA) molecules are approximately 80 nucleotides in length. Their secondary structure includes four short double-helical elements and three loops (D, anti-codon, and T loops). Further hydrogen bonds mediate the characteristic L-shaped molecular structure. tRNAs have two regions of fundamental functional importance: the anti-codon, which is responsible for specific mRNA codon recognition, and the 3' end, to which the tRNAs corresponding amino acid is attached (by aminoacyl-tRNA synthetases). tRNAs cope with the degeneracy of the genetic code in two manners: having more than one tRNA (with a specific anti-codon) for a particular amino acid; and 'wobble' base-pairing, i.e. permitting non-standard base-pairing at the 3rd anti-codon position. The record is from RNAcentral. Lineage: Bacteria; Bacillati; Chloroflexota.
GCCCCCUUAGCUCAGAGGACAGAGCAGAGGCGUCCUAAGCCUUCGGUCGCAGGUUCGACUCCUGCAGGGGGCG